GUUUUCAGUGCAUUAUUUAUGUUUGAUUUCAUUGCAUUAUUUAUAUUUGCCAUUGUUUCAUUUCAAAGAAAUUGAAUUAUCCUUUCUAAAAUAGGGGCAAAUUCUGUUAAAAAAAGGGAAGGAAGAAAUAAAUGGUUAAUUAAUUGGUGGAAAGUACUUUGCAUCAACUGAGUUGGAAAUAAUCAACAUGGGUUAUGCAACUGAUCUUUUUGUCUCAUAUUUAUGACUUCUGCAAUAACUGUUCCUGGCCUUAUGGGAUUAUUAUUUUUGCUUCUUGAUUAUAUAUUCUACUUGUUGCUGUGAUUGUCAAUGUGUAUCAGUGAAGUUUUUGCAAUCAAAUUUCUAAAUUACUUGACAUGUUCCACUCGUAUCUGAUGUCAGCUCUAGGUUGUGUCAUGAUUGUGUCAGUGUUUUACCAUAACAUGAUGCAGGUUGUUGGAGGUUCUAAAUAAGAAGCUGGACUCUGUUAAUAUGUGUGUGUGUGUGUGUG
Molecule: unclassified non-coding RNA, 490 nt
Filed under: Hevea brasiliensis (rubber tree)
Lineage: Eukaryota; Viridiplantae; Streptophyta; Magnoliopsida; Malpighiales; Euphorbiaceae
Source: RNAcentral